GACGAACGCUGGCGGCGUGCUUAACACAUGCAAGUCGAACGGAAAGGCCCUGCUUUUGUGGGGUGCUCGAGUGGCGAACGGGUGAUUAACACUUGAGUAACCUGCCCUUGACUUUGGGAUAACUUAAGGAAACUGGGGCUAUACCGGAUAGGAGCUCCUGCUGCAUGGUGGGGUUUGGUAAGUUUCGGCGGUUGGGGAUGGACUCGCGGCUUAUCAGCUUGUUGGUGGGGUAGUGGCUUACCAAGGCUUUGACGGGUAGCCGGCCUGAGAGGGUGACCGGCGACAUUGGGACUGAGAUACGGCGCAGACUCCUACGGGAGGAAGCAGUGGGGAAUAUUGCACAAUGGGCGGAAGCCUGAUGCAGCAAAGCAGCGUGCGGGAUGACGACCUUCGGGUUGUAAACCGCUUUCGCCCGUGACGAAGAGUGAGUGACGGUAAUGGGUAAAGAAGCACCGGCUAACUACGUG
Molecule: ribosomal RNA, 467 nt
Filed under: uncultured bacterium
Lineage: Bacteria
Description: partial 16S ribosomal RNA
Rfam family: Bacterial small subunit ribosomal RNA
Source: RNAcentral